RNAcentral lists this ribosomal RNA (1344 nucleotides) under uncultured bacterium. RNAcentral's name for it is "16S ribosomal RNA". It matches the Rfam family "Bacterial small subunit ribosomal RNA", at positions 28 to 1378 of the family's 1533-position model. The record is from RNAcentral.
GACGAACGCUGGCGGCGUGCUUAACACAUGCAAGUCGAACGGAAAGGCCCUGCUUUUGUGGGGUGCUCGAGUGGCGAACGGGUGAGUAACACGUGAGUAACCUGCCCUUGACUUUGGGAUAACUUCAGGAAACUGGGGCUAAUACCGGAUAGGAGCUCCUGCUGCAUGGUGGGGGUUGGAAAGUUUCGGCGGUUGGGGAUGGACUCGCGGCUUAUCAGCUUGUUGGUGGGGUAGUGGCUUACCAAGGCUUUGACGGGUAGCCGGCCUGAGAGGGUGACCGGCCACAUUGGGACUGAGAUACGGCCCAGACUCCUACGGGAGGCAGCAGUGGGGAAUAUUGCACAAUGGGCGGAAGCCUGAUGCAGCAACGCCGCGUGCGGGAUGACGGCCUUCGGGUUGUAAACCGCUUUCGCCUGUGACGAAGCGUGAGUGACGGUAAUGGGUAAAGAAGCACCGGCUAACUACGUGCCAGCAGCCGCGGUGAUACGUAGGGUGCGAGCGUUGUCCGGAUUUAUUGGGCGUAAAGGGCUCGUAGGUGGUUGAUCGCGUCGGAAGUGUAAUCUUGGGGCUUAACCCUGAGCGUGCUUUCGAUACGGGUUGACUUGAGGAAGGUAGGGGAGAAUGGAAUUCCUGGUGGAGCGGUGGAAUGCGCAGAUAUCAGGAGGAACACCAGUGGCGAAGGCGGUUCUCUGGGCCUUUCCUGACGCUGAGGAGCGAAAGCGUGGGGAGCGAACAGGCUUAGAUACCCUGGUAGUCCACGCUGUAAACGGUGGGUACUAGGCGUGGGGUCCAUUCCACGGGUUCCGUGCCGUAGCUAACGCUUUAAGUACCCCGCCUGGGGAGUACGGCCGCAAGGCUAAAACUCAAAGGAAUUGACGGGGCCCCGCACAAGCGGCGGAGCAUGCGGAUUAAUUCGAUGCAACGCGUAGAACCUUACCUGGGUUUGACAUGGAUCGGGAGUGCUCAGAGAUGGGUGUGCCUCUUUUGGGGUCGGUUCACAGGUGGUGCAUGCCUGUCGUCAGCUCGUGUCGUGAGAUGUUGGGUUAAGUCCCGCAACGAGCGCAACCCUUGUUCACUGUUGCCAGCACGUUAUGGUGGGGACUCAGUGGAGACCGCCGGGGUCAACUCGGAGGAAGGUGGGGAUGACGUCAAGUCAUCAUGCCCCUUAUGUCCAGGGCUUCACGCAUGCUACAAUGGCUGGUACAGAGAGUGGCGAGCCUGUGAGGGUGAGCGAAUCUCGGAAAGCCGGUCUCAGUUCGGAUUGGGGUCCGCAACUCGACCUCAUGAAGUCGGAGUCGCUAGUAAUCGCAAAUCAGCAACGCUGCGGUGAAUUACGUUCCCGGG